GUCUGAGUGCUUUGCCCUCCGUGGUAAUCUUUUGGCCAGCUCUGAAACCUGAUUUUUUCUGUGAUCUCUGGCUGAUCGGACCUCGAACCAGACCUCUGUUGUUUUUUGCAGCUCCCUCCUGGACUAGAACUGAACCUGGCAGACUGAGGUCCUUUCCUGACUCUGUGCCUCUCCCUGGCGGAUUCUACGUUCCCACCCCCACCAUUCCAGGUCCAAGACGGAAACCCAGAGUCUGAGUUCGCCCUGGCAUCUCUUGCAGUGGACUGUGCCAUAAGAACCUUGAUGCCCAUCUUGAUCCGAUGUCUAAAUCACCUCAAUGGCUGCAGGGAACAACUGCUUAAUUAAAACAGCAAGACAUCUGACCCGGUUACAAAUGGGUGCUGGUCAUUUCACACUUGCACUGGUGUGCCAUUGUACCUUUGUAUAUUUGUUUGUUCUUUACCCAACUUUUUCAGGUGUGAAAUGGAGCUGUCUGCCACAAGAAGUUUCUAUCUAACUUUGCAUCCAUUUAUGCCUGUCAGGGGGAUGUUUUGUACCCACUUUGACAUCAUAGGCGCUGGAGCUGCAGACCGGAGUGUUGACAGGUGUACGUCGUUGCUUCAUCAGCUGGAGGACUAUAUGAGGGUGGUUCGCUGGCUUUUCUACGCCUGAGUGUUUUUCCUACCGCUGUUCACGCCAAGCUGGGGGUUCCACCUGAACCCACCUCCUGUCAAGACUGGAAUCUGCUGCUGCCCUUGCGAGUCCUCCAGCUGGAAGCGCAACCUGUCCACCACUUUGUUACCUGGAACAUCAGAUCGCUCCAAUCGUUUCCGUGCAGGCACUACCACAGACUUGAACCGGCUUCUCCCCCUGGCGGAUCGAUCGCCUUCCGGAAAUCUGUCUCCUGAUCGCUCUGCCCACCUCGUUCCUGAGUCGAAAAGAAAUAAAAGAAAAACUUAAUUUAC
Girardinichthys multiradiatus is the source of this 944-nucleotide long non-coding RNA. RefSeq lists it as uncharacterized. NCBI's taxonomy places the organism in Eukaryota, Metazoa, Chordata, Actinopteri, Cyprinodontiformes, Goodeidae. The transcript is spliced from 5 exons. The record is from RefSeq and is a predicted model, not a curated record.